This 2195-nucleotide ribosomal RNA is filed under the name Salmonella enterica subsp. enterica serovar Enteritidis. RNAcentral's name for it is "partial 23S ribosomal RNA". It matches the Rfam family "Bacterial large subunit ribosomal RNA", at positions 70 to 2290 of the family's 2925-position model. Lineage: Bacteria; Pseudomonadati; Pseudomonadota; Gammaproteobacteria; Enterobacterales; Enterobacteriaceae. The record is from RNAcentral.
GAUAAGCGCCGGUAAGGUGAUAUGAACCGUUAUAACCGGCGAUACCCGAAUGGGGAAACCCAGUGUGACUCGUCACACUAUCAUUAACUGAAUCCAUAGGUUAAUGAGGCGAACCGGGGGAACUGAAACAUCUAAGUACCCCGAGGAAAAGAAAUCAACCGAGAUUCCCCCAGUAGCGGCGAGCGAACGGGGAGGAGCCCAGAGCCUGAAUCAGCAUGUGUGUUAGUGGAAGCGUCUGGAAAGGCGCGCGAUACAGGGUGACAGCCCCGUACACAAAAGCGCAUGUGCUGUGAGCUCGAUGAGUAGGGCGGGACACGUGGUAUCCUGUCUGAAUAUGGGGGGACCAUCCUCCAAGGCUAAAUACUCCUGACUGACCGAUAGUGAACCAGUACCGUGAGGGAAAGGCGAAAAGAACCCCGGCGAGGGGAGUGAAAAAGAACCUGAAACCGUGUACGUACAAGCAGUGGGAGCACCCUUUGGGUGUGACUGCGUACCUUUUGUAUAAUGGGUCAGCGACUUAUAUUCUGUAGCAAGGUUAACCGAAUAGGGGAGCCGGAGGGAAACCGAGUCUUAACCGGGCGUUAAGUUGCAGGGUAUAGACCCGAAACCCGGUGAUCUAGCCAUGGGCAGGUUGAAGGUUGGGUAACACUAACUGGAGGACCGAACCGACUAAUGUUGAAAAAUUAGCGGAUGACCUGUGGCUGGGGGUGAAAGGCCAAUCAAACCGGGAGAUAGCUGGUUCUCCCCGAAAGCUAUUUAGGUAGCGCCUCGUGAAUUCAUCUCCGGGGGUAGAGCACUGUUUCGGCUAGGGGGCCAUCCCGGCUUACCAACCCGAUGCAAACUGCGAAUACCGGAGAAUGUUAUCACGGGAGACACACGGCGGGUGCUAACGUCCGUCGUGAAGAGGGAAACAACCCAGACCGCCAGCUAAGGUCCCAAAGUCAUGGUUAAGUGGGAAACGAUGUGGGAAGGCCCAGACAGCCAGGAUGUUGGCUUAGAAGCAGCCAUCAUUUAAAGAAAGCGUAAUAGCUCACUGGUCGAGUCGGCCUGCGCGGAAGAUGUAACGGGGCUAAACCAUGCACCGAAGCUGCGGCAGCGACACUGUGUGUUGUUGGGUAGGGGAGCGUUCUGUAAGCCUGUGAAGGUGUGUCGUGAGGCAUGCUGGAGGUAUCAGAAGUGCGAAUGCUGACAUAAGUAACGAUAAAGCGGGUGAAAAGCCCGCUCGCCGGAAGACCAAGGGUUCCUGUCCAACGUUAAUCGGGGCAGGGUGAGUCGACCCCUAAGGCGAGGCCGAAAGGCGUAGUCGAUGGGAAACGGGUUAAUAUUCCCGUACUUGGUGUUACUGCGAAGGGGGGACGGAGAAGGCUAUGUUGGCCGGGCGACGGUUGUCCCGGUUUAAGCGUGUAGGUGUGUGUUCCAGGUAAAUCCGGUUCACUUUAACACUGAGGCGUGACGACGAGGCACUACGGUGCUGAAGCAACAAAUGCCCUGCUUCCAGGAAAAGCCUCUAAGCAUCAGGUAACAUCAAAUCGUACCCCAAACCGACACAGGUGGUCAGGUAGAGAAUACCAAGGCGCUUGAGAGAACUCGGGUGAAGGAACUAGGCAAAAUGGUGCCGUAACUUCGGGAGAAGGCACGCUGACACGUAGGUGAAGUGAUUUACUCAUGGAGCUGAAGUCAGUCGAAGAUACCAGCUGGCUGCAACUGUUUAUUAAAAACACAGCACUGUGCAAACACGAAAGUGGACGUAUACGGUGUGACGCCUGCCCGGUGCCGGAAGGUUAAUUGAUGGGGUCAGCGCAAGCGAAGCUCCUGAUCGAAGCCCCGGUAAACGGCGGCCGUAACUAUAACGGUCCUAAGGUAGCGAAAUUCCUUGUCGGGUAAGUUCCGACCUGCACGAAUGGCGUAAUGAUGGCCAGGCUGUCUCCACCCGAGACUCAGUGAAAUUGAACUCGCUGUGAAGAUGCAGUGUACCCGCGGCAAGACGGAAAGACCCCGUGAACCUUUACUAUAGCUUGACACUGAACAUUGAGCCUUGAUGUGUAGGAUAGGUGGGAGGCUUUGAAGUGUGGACGCCAGUCUGCAUGGAGCCGACCUUGAAAUACCACCCUUUAAUGUUUGAUGUUCUAACGUGGACCCGUUACCCGGGUUGCGGACAGUGUCUGGUGGGUAGUUUGACUGGGGCGGUCUCCUCC